GAUGAAGAACGUAGCGAAAUGCGAUAAGUAAUGUGAAUUGCAGAAUUCAGUGAAUCAUCGAAUCUUUGAACGCACAUUGCGCCCCUUGGUAUUCCGAGGGGCAUGCCUGUUCGAGCGUCAUUAUAACCCCUCAAGCUCAGCUUGGUGUUGGGGCCUGCUGCACUGGCAGCCCUUAAAAUCAGUGGCGGCGCCAUCUGGCUCUAAGCGUAGUAAUUCUUCUCGCUAUGGAGUCCUGGUGGAUGCUUGCCAUCAACCCCAAUUUUUCUAUGGUUGACCUCGGAUCAGGUAGGGAUACCCGCUGAACUUAAGCAUAUCAAUAAGCGGAGGA
RNAcentral lists this unclassified non-coding RNA (328 nucleotides) under soil metagenome. RNAcentral describes it as "partial contains 5.8S ribosomal RNA, internal transcribed spacer 2, and large subunit ribosomal RNA". The stretch from base 1 to 120 matches the Rfam family "5.8S ribosomal RNA", at positions 35 to 154 of the family's 154-position model. The record is from RNAcentral.